AGCCUGGAGGAGCGGGGGGGCAGGCGGGCCCCGGAGCGGGAUUGGGGCACGGCGUCGGCGGGGGGACGACUCCUGUUGCGGCAGGCGUGCCCGGGAGUGCUGGUAAGUCACGAGGAAGUUUAAAACCUGUGGACCAAACAGGAUUAAGGUCAACUUGAGUCGGGUACGAUUAGUGCAGCCCCAAGUUAUUUACUUGAGAGUUGCGGCUAGGUGAGCAAGAAGAUGGAUAGAAGACAGACACUCCCAGGCAGUGUGAGGCCAGCUCCACCCCUGGGCACAGACUGCAGGCACCAGCCGACCCGGGUACCAACUGAUUGAACCCCCUGCUGAGCCCUGCUCUCUCCUGUACAGCUGCCCCAAAGCCAUGGGCUUCCCUGCUGCAGCAUGUGUCGAUGGGUCCUCUGUUGCCUCUGACGUCUCCCCAGGCACUCGUACGCUGCACAAGGGUCUGGAUGUCUCCAGCAGCGGCGCAGCAGCCGGACGCGUCCUCUCGUCUGGGACGCGGGGUCCUUCACCGCUCUUCUGGGAUACGGGGCCCUUGAUUAAUUGCCGUGGCAGAAGUUGAAGAGACCAAGAAAUGUAAGCACCGAAGGGGGACAUCUUGAAGACAGGUGGCUAGACCUAGUGAUCCAGUUGUUCGUUUUGGUCAUCGCCUGUGAGGCCAGCAUCCAAGCAUAAGAGGAAGCUAGGAGCUGUCUUGAAAAGAGAUGGGACCAAUGAUAGGAAAUGCUGACGAAGAGAAAAGCUGGACAAGCAGUUUUUUGAGAUUAAUACCUAAGGGACGGGAUGAAACAAGGAAGCCAAAAUGCAGCGGACCCUCGAUAUCACUGGAAACGGCUACGGCAGGAGGUGUUCUGGCACAGGCAUUCAGAACCUCGGGGAACGACUGUAUGCUGCCAUGAAGAACUACAGGCUACCACCGCCCUCGGACCUUCGUAAGUUAUCAUGUAUCAAGAGCGACCAGGAGAAUCCAAACGGCAGCGGAAAGGUUCUCUGCCUGGUCUUGACGAGGAGCCUUCGGCCAUAGGAAGGUUGGCCGCGUCCUUAUCAGACUUGUGAGUAAUAAGCCGCAAUUCAUGGAAUGGCAAAGGAGGGGUGGAAUAGCGACUGGUAGCCCAGUUGCUAUGGCGUUGCUGUUGCUGGCAGGGCCACAAGGUCUGUGCGAAGCCUGUCUACCUGGAAUAACCAGUGAGGCCUAAAAUAGGAAUUCUCGUGGCUAGAUGG
RNAcentral lists this long non-coding RNA (1224 nucleotides) under Dromaius novaehollandiae (emu). RNAcentral describes it as "lncRNA (ENSDNVG00000014089.1)". The record is from RNAcentral. Lineage: Eukaryota; Metazoa; Chordata; Aves; Casuariiformes; Dromaiidae.